RNAcentral lists this ribosomal RNA (645 nucleotides) under uncultured Actinomycetes bacterium. Its description in RNAcentral is "bacterial SSU rRNA". It matches the Rfam family "Bacterial small subunit ribosomal RNA", at positions 229 to 888 of the family's 1533-position model. Lineage: Bacteria; Bacillati; Actinomycetota; Actinomycetes. The record is from RNAcentral.
AUUCGCGGCCUAUCAGCUUGUUGGUGGGGUAAUGGCCUACCAAGGCGUCGACGGGUAGCUGGCCUGAGAGGGUGUACGGCCACAUUGGGACUGAGAUACGGCCCAGACUCCUACGGGAGGCAGCAGUGGGGAAUAUUGCACAAUGGGCGCAAGCCUGAUGCAGCGACGCCGCGUGGGGGAUGACGGCCUUCGGGUUGUAAACUCCUUUCGCCAAAGACGAAUUUUGACGGUAUUUGGAGAAGAAGCACCGGCUAACUACGUGCCAGCAGCCGCGGUAAUACGUAGGGUGCGAGCGUUGUCCGGAAUUACUGGGCGUAAAGAGCUCGUAGGUGGUUUGUCGCGUCGUUUGUGUAAGCCCAUGGCUUAACUGUGGGACUGCAGGCGAUACGGGCAUAACUUGAGUGCUGUAGGGGAGACUGGAAUUCCUGGUGUAGCGGUGAAAUGCGCAGAUAUCAGGAGGAACACCGAUGGCGAAGGCAGGUCUCUGGGCAGUUACUGACGCUGAGGAGCGAAAGCAUGGGGAGCGAACAGGAUUAGAUACCCUGGUAGUCCAUGCCGUAAACGGUGGGCGCUAGGUGUGAGUCCCUUCCACGGGGUUCGUGCCGUAGCUAACGCAUUAAGCGCCCCGCCUGGGGAGUACGGAAU